This 253-nucleotide ribosomal RNA is filed under the name uncultured bacterium. RNAcentral's name for it is "partial 16S ribosomal RNA". It matches the Rfam family "Bacterial small subunit ribosomal RNA", at positions 524 to 776 of the family's 1533-position model. The record is from RNAcentral.
UACGGAGGAUCCAAGCGUUAUCCGGAUUUAUUGGGUUUAAAGGGUGCGUAGGCGGCCUGUUAAGUCAGAGGUGAAAGACGGUAGCUCAACUAUCGCAGUGCCUUUGAUACUGACGGGCUUGAAUAAACUAGAGGUAGGCGGAAUGAGACAAGUAGCGGUGAAAUGCAUAGAUAUGUCUCAGAACACCGAUUGCGAAGGCAGCUUACUAUGGUUUUAUUGACGCUGAGGCACGAAAGCGUGGGGAUCGAACAGG